This 826-nucleotide ribosomal RNA is filed under the name Brotia peninsularis. RNAcentral describes it as "partial 16S ribosomal RNA". It matches the Rfam family "Bacterial large subunit ribosomal RNA", at positions 1454 to 2566 of the family's 2925-position model. The record is from RNAcentral. Lineage: Eukaryota; Metazoa; Mollusca; Gastropoda; Pachychilidae.
GGUUAUAGAAUAGAUUUUAUAGUUGUUAUAUUUAAUUUAUUAAGGAUAAGCUUAAUAAGAAGUAGGAAAGAUAUAUAAACCAAAUAAAUUAUGUAGGCUUGAGAUUAGCCACCAUAGUAGAACUUGUUAUAAAAUAGUUUAUAAAAUUGGAAAAAUUUCUUGUAUUUAUUUUCCUAAUGCUAUAGAGGUAAUAGAAGAAACUAAUAAAUCUAGUCUAUGUAUGCUAAGAUGAGUAUUUUUAAAUUUUAAGAAGAUAAAAUAUUAAAAAAUAUCUAUAAUAAUAGUUUUUAUAAAAAUAAAGUAAGAAAAAGGAACUCGGCAAAUAUUAGCUCCGCCUGUUUAUCAAAAACAUGGCUCUUUGUUAAUUUAAUAUAGAGAGUCGAACCUGCCCAGUGAAAAUUUUUAACGGCCGCGGUACCCUGACCGUGCAAAGGUAGCAUAAUCAUUUGCCUUAUAAUUGAAGGCUUGUAUGAAUGGUCUAACGAGAGCGUUGCUGUCUCUUUUUUAAUAAAUAGAAUUUGACCUCUAGGUGAAGAGGCCUAGAUAAAAUUGAUAGACAAGAAGACCCUAUUGAGCUUUAAAAUUAAAUUAGGAGAAAUUAUAAAUUUAGAUUUACUACUAACUUAUUUUUUGAUUGGGGCGAUCAAGGAACAAUAAAAGCUUCCUUUACCUAUAUAUAAUUUAUAAAUAUUGAUCCGGUUAAAACCGAUUAGAAGAAUUAGUUACCAUAGGGAUAACAGCAUAAUCUUUCUUGAGAGAUCUAAUCGAAAGAGGGGGUUGUGACCUCGAUGUUGGACUAAAAUAUCCUAAAGAUGCAGAAGUCUUA